Long non-coding RNA from Lepidothrix coronata (blue-crowned manakin), 1117 nucleotides. RefSeq lists it as uncharacterized. The transcript is spliced from 4 exons. Lineage: Eukaryota; Metazoa; Chordata; Aves; Passeriformes; Pipridae. The record is from RefSeq and is a predicted model, not a curated record.
GCGUGCGAGACAGUAGACGCAAGAUGCCGGAGCUCAGCGUGGAUGAAUGGGAUUCCAAAAGAAAGCGCUAACGCACAAAAUCAAAGGGAACUUUCUGGGAUGAAUCAACUAGAAGGAGGCAGGUGAACUACUGGCAGUCCUGGAAACCUCCCAGAGAAUCUGCAAAUUUCUUUAAAAGGCUUUUAGGAAUUCUUCAUAUUCUUGAGUGUUCCUGCCAGCUCACCAGAGACUGACCUACAACUUUCUGUGCACAUGGAAGAGUACAAAGUUUUAAUGCAUGCUGCCUCAGCUAUUUAGGCCAGCAAGACCUGAAGACAUAAAUGAUUAAGCUAAGAGAAAUUUUGUGCUUUAACUGAACUGUUUAUUAGUUCUCUGGGAAAGUUCUGGCUGUGAAAGGCGAGAUGGGAUUUGAAGAAGAACACAGGUAACCACUUGCCCCUGAGGAGGAGGAGGAUAAGGAGGGCUGUUUCUAGGGCUGCUUACACAUUCCUAAUCCCUGGAACACUGACUGUCCCAAAAGCAUGGUUGACUUCAUCUAGGAAGGCAGCGUUUCUCUUUGACCUUGGAGUAGAAUCCAGAACCAAUUCUGGCUACAUUUUGUCUGACUCCCAUGCUCUUCCCCGCUAUGGCUGCUGCCCUUAGCAUGGACCCAGCUGCCGGCCACCCUGUCCCACCACCCUGAUUCCACUUCUGCCCACAGCGGCAGGGCCAGGAGCUGAUAGAGGUUCAAGACCAAAUGCCAGGUCCUUUACUUUGAUCACAAUAACCCCAUGCAGUGCUACAGGCUGGGGGCACAGUGACUGGAAAGCUGCCCAGCAGAAAAGGACCUGGGGAUGCUGAUCAACAGAGACUGAACACGAGGCAGCAGUGUGGCCAGGUGGGCAAGAAGGCCAAUGGCACCCUGGCUUGUAUCAGAAAGAGUGUGACCAGCAAAACCAGGGCAGUGAUACUUCCCCUGUACUAGGCACUGAUGGGGCUGCACCUCAAAUGCUGUGUCCAGUUCUGGGGCCUUCAAUUCAAGAAUUGAGGUUGAGGUGCUGGAGCAGGUCUGGAAAAGGGCAACGAAGCUGGUGAAGGGUCUGGAGUACAAUUCUGAUGAGGAGCAGCUGAGGGAGCU